Molecule: ribosomal RNA, 39 nt
Filed under: Gliocephalotrichum longibrachium
Lineage: Eukaryota; Fungi; Ascomycota; Sordariomycetes; Hypocreales; Nectriaceae
Description: partial 28S ribosomal RNA
Source: RNAcentral
CGGAUCAGGUAGGACUACCCGCUGAACUUAAGCAUAUCA